This 253-nucleotide ribosomal RNA is filed under the name uncultured bacterium. Its description in RNAcentral is "partial 16S ribosomal RNA". It matches the Rfam family "Bacterial small subunit ribosomal RNA", at positions 524 to 776 of the family's 1533-position model. The record is from RNAcentral.
UACGUAGGGACCGAGCGUUGUCCGGAAUCAUUGGGCGUAAAGAGCGUGUAGGCGGCCAACUAAGUCCUGCGUGAAAUCUCGGGGCUCAACCCCGAGCGGUCGUGGGAAACUGGUUGGCUAGAGUGCGGGAGAGGAGAGUGGAAUUCCUGGUGUAGCGGUGAAAUGCGCAGAUAUCAGGAAGAACACCCGUGGCGAAGGCGGCUCUCUGGAACGCAACUGACGCUGAGGCGCGAAAGCGUGGGGAGCAAACAGG